Molecule: ribosomal RNA, 746 nt
Filed under: uncultured bacterium
Lineage: Bacteria
Description: bacterial SSU rRNA
Rfam family: Bacterial small subunit ribosomal RNA
Source: RNAcentral
CAUGCCUUACACAUGCAAGUCGAACGGCAGCACGGGGGCAACCCUGGUGGCGAGUGGCGAACGGGUGAGUAAUGCAUCGGAACGUGCCCAGUAGUGGGGGAUAACCAGUCGAAAGAUUGGCUAAUACCGCAUACGACCUAAGGGUGAAAGCGGGGGACCGUAAGGCCUCGCGCUAUUGGAGCGGCCGAUGUCUGAUUAGCUAGUUGGCGGGGUAAAAGCCCACCAAGGCGACGAUCAGUAGCUGGUCUGAGAGGACGACCAGCCACACUGGGACUGAGACACGGCCCAGACUCCUACGGGAGGCAGCAGUGGGGAAUUUUGGACAAUGGGCGCAAGCCUGAUCCAGCCAUGCCGCGUGCGGGAAGAAGGCCUUCGGGUUGUAAACCGCUUUUGGCAGGAACGAAACGGCGAUUCCUAAUACGAGUCGUUAAUGACGGUACCUGCAGAAUAAGCACCGGCUAACUACGUGCCAGCAGCCGCGGUAAUACAGAGGGUGCGAGCGUUAAUCGGAAUUACUGGGCGUAAAGCGCACGUAGGCGGCUUGGUAUGUCGGGUGUGAAAUCCCCGGGCUCAACCUGGGAACUGCAUCCGAAACUGCCUUGCUCGAGUAUGGGAGAGGGAAGUGGAAUUUCCGGUGUAGCGGUGAAAUGCGUAGAUAUCGGAAGGAACAUCAGUGGCGAAGGCGACUUCCUGGACCAAUACUGACGCUCAGGUGCGAAAGCGUGGGGAGCAAACAGGAUUAGAUA